GGAUCCAGACUUUGAUUCUGGCUCAGGAUGAACGCUAGCUACAGGCUUAACACAUGUAAGUCGAGGGGCAGCGAUGAAGAAAGCUUGCUUUCUUCAGGCGGCGACCGGCGCACGGGUGAGUAACGCGUAUCGAACCUGCCUCAUACUCAGGAAUAGCCUUGCGAAAGUAAGAUUAAUGCCCGAUGUUAUCAGGAUAUCACAUGAUGUUUUAAUUAAAGAUUUAUCGGUAUGAGAUGGCGAUGCGUCCCAUUAGCUUGUUGGCGGGGUAACGGCCCACCAAGGCAUCGAUGGGUAGGGGUUCUGAGAGGAAGGUCCCCCACAUUGGAACUGAGACACGGUCCAAACUCCUACGGGAGGCAGCAGUGAGGAAUAUUGGUCAAUGGACGCAAGUCUGAACCAGCCAAGUAGCGUGCAGGAAGACGGCCCUCUGGGUUGUAAACUGCUUUUAGUUGGGAAUAAAGUGCACCGCGUGUGGUGUUUUGUAUGUACCAUCAGAAAAAGGACCGGCUAAUUCCGUGCCAGCAGCCGCGGUAAUACGGAAGGUCCAGGCGUUAUCCGGAUUUAUUGGGUUUAAAGGGAGCGCAGGCGGACCUUUAAGUCAGCUGUGAAAUACGGCGGCUCAACCGUCGAACUGCAGUUGAUACUGGAGGUCUUGAGUGCACACAGGGAUACUGGAAUUCAUGGUGUAGCGGUGAAAUGCUCAGAUAUCAUGAAGAACUCCGAUCGCGAAGGCAGGUAUCCGGGGUGCAACUGACGCUGAGGCUCGAAAGUGCGGGUAUCAAACAGGAUUAGAUACCCUGGUAGUCCGCACAGUAAACGAUGAAUACUCGCGAUUUGCGAUACACAGUAAGUCGCCAAGCGAAAGCGUUAAGUAUUCCACCUGGGGAGUACGCCGGCAACGGUGCAACUCAAAGGAAUUGACGG
This 924-nucleotide ribosomal RNA is filed under the name uncultured bacterium. RNAcentral describes it as "bacterial SSU rRNA". It matches the Rfam family "Bacterial small subunit ribosomal RNA", at positions 1 to 916 of the family's 1533-position model. The record is from RNAcentral. RNAcentral also lists the same sequence under 1 other name.